UGCCGGCUCUUAGGCCCGCACCGGAAGACGUGGAGCACCGCAGCUGCAGCAGGUUUCUCAAAGAUGAAAGUGACCUUGUCAGCUCUGGAUACUUAUGAAAGUUCUUUCACACCUUUGGUGGUCAUAGAACUUGCUCAGGAUGUCAAAGAAGAAACCAAAGAAUGGCUGAAAAACAGAAUUGUCACUAAAAAAAAAGAUGGAGGUGCCCCGUUGUUGUUUAGACCAUUGUUAAAUAAAUAUGAAAAAGAGACUCUAGAAAAUCAGAACUUAUAUCUUGUUGGUGCCUCCAACAUUAGAUUGUUGCUAGGAGCAGAGGCAGUGGGUUUGGUAAAAGAGUGCAAUGAUAAUACCAUGAGAGCCUUCACAUAUGGAACCCGGCAGAACUUCAAAGGUUUUGAUGAUAACAAUGAUAAUUUCCUCACAAUGGCAGAAUGUCAAUUCAUUAUCAAACAUGAACUUGAAAAUCUUAGAGCUAAAGAUGAAAAAAUGAUCCCUGGUUAUCCCCAGGUAAAGUUGUAUCCAGGAAAAUCGUUACUGAGAAGAUUACUCACGUCUGGCAUCGUGGUUCAGGUGUUUCCACUGCAUGAUAAUGAAGCCCGGAAGAAGCUUGAGGACACCUGGUACACUCGGUUUACUUUCAAGUAUCAGCCCAUAGACAGUAUUCGUAGCUACUUUGGAGAAUCAAUUGCUCUUUACUUUGGAUUUUUGGAAUAUUUCACUUUUGCCUUAAUCCCCAUGGCUGUCAUCGGUUUACCUUACUACAUGUUUGUGUGGGAAGACUAUGACAAGUAUGUGAUCUUUGCCUCAUUCAACCUGAUCUGGUCUAUGGUGAUCCUGGAAGUGUGGAAGUGUGGCUGUGCCAACAUGACCUACAGGUGGGGGAUGCUGCUCAUGAAGAGACAGUUUGAGGAACCCCGGCCUGGAUUUCAUGGUGUCCUGGGUAUCAAUUCUGUCACCGGCAGGGAGGAGCCUCUCUACCCCAGCUACAAGAGGCAGUUGCGAAUUUACCUGGUCUCCCUGCCAUUUGUGUGCCUCUGUCUCUAUUUCUCUCUGUAUGUCAUGAUGAUUUACUUCGACAUGGAGGCCUGGGCCUUAGGUCUACAUGAGAACAGCGGAUCUGAGUGGACCAAUAUCCUGUUGUAUGUGCCCAGCAUCAUCUAUGCCAUUGUGAUUGAGAUUAUGAACCGCCUCUAUCGAUAUGCUGCCGAGUUUUUAACUUCAUGGGAGAAUCACAGAUUGGAAUCUGCCUAUCAGAAUCAUCUAAUUCUGAAAGUUUUAGUGUUUUAACUUUCUCAAUUGCUUUGCCUCACUCUUCUAUUGCUUUGCCUUUGUCCUGAAGGAUAUGAAGCUUUUGCGCCAGAGCCUGGCCACACUUCUGAUUACCUCCCAGAUCCUUAACCAGGUUGUGGAAUCUCUUCUUCUUUAUUGGCUCCAAAGAAAGCAUGGUGUGCAGGUGAAGAGGAAGAUGCAGGCCAUAAAGGCAGACAUCGAUGCUACAUUAUAUGAACAAGUCACCCUGGAAAAAAAAAUGGGAACUUAUUUGGGUACCUUCAAUGAUUACUUGGAGUUAUUCCUGCAGUUUGGUUAUGCGAGCCUUUUCUCCUGUGUUUACCCUUUAGCAGCUGCCUUUGCAGUGUUAAAUAACUUCACUGAAGUCAAUUCAGAUGCCUUAAAAAUGUGCAGAGUCUUCAAACGUCCCUUCUCAGAACCUUCAACCAAUAUUGGUGUAUGGCAGUUGGCUUUUGAAACAAUGAGUGUUAUAUCUGUGGUUACUAACUGUGCUCUGAUUGGAAUGUCACCACAAGUGAAUGCAGUCUUCCCAGAAUCAAAAACGGAUCUCAUUUUGAUUGUAGUAGCAAUGGAGCAUGCACUCCUGGCUUUAAAGUUUAUACUUGCAUUUGCCAUACCUGAUAAGCCACGGCAUAUUCAGAUGAAACUGGCCAGAUUGGAUUUUGAGUCUUUGGAGGCACUCAAGCAGCAGUAAA
Molecule: RNA transcript, 1985 nt
Organism: Carlito syrichta (Philippine tarsier)
Lineage: Eukaryota; Metazoa; Chordata; Mammalia; Primates; Tarsiidae
Gene name: anoctamin-10 pseudogene
Exons: 1
Source: RefSeq, a predicted model, not a curated record